RNAcentral lists this ribosomal RNA (468 nucleotides) under uncultured bacterium. Its description in RNAcentral is "partial 16S ribosomal RNA". It matches the Rfam family "Bacterial small subunit ribosomal RNA", at positions 28 to 507 of the family's 1533-position model. The record is from RNAcentral.
GACGAACGCUGGCGGCGUGCUUAACACAUGCAAGUCGAACGGAAAGGCCCUGCUUUUGUGGGGUGCUCGAGUGGCGAACGGGUGAGUAACACGUGAGUAACCUGCCCUUGACUUUGGGAUAACUUCAGGAAACUGGGGCUAAUACCGGAUAGGAGCUCCUGCUGCAUGGUGGGGGUUGGAAAGUUUCGGCGGUUGGGGAUGGACUCGCGGCUUAUCAGCUUGGUGGUGGGGUAGUGGCUUACCAAGGCUUUGACGGGUAGCCGGCCUGAGAGGGUGACCGGCCACAUUGGGACUGAGAUACGGCCCAGACUCGUACGGGAGGCAGCAGUGGGGAAUAUUGCACAAUGGGCGGAAGCCUGAUGCAGCAACGCCGCGUGCGGGAUGACGGCCUUCGGGUUGUAAACCGCUUUCGCCUGUGACGAAGCGUGAGUGACGGUAAUGGGUAAAGAAGCACCGGCUAACUACGUG